This 98-nucleotide small nucleolar RNA is filed under the name Cephalotus follicularis. RNAcentral's name for it is "Small nucleolar RNA Z157/R69/R10". It matches the Rfam family "Small nucleolar RNA Z157/R69/R10". From Rfam's summary of the family: Z157, R69 and R10 are members of the C/D class of snoRNA which contain the C (UGAUGA) and D (CUGA) box motifs. Lineage: Eukaryota; Viridiplantae; Streptophyta; Magnoliopsida; Oxalidales; Cephalotaceae. The record is from Rfam by way of RNAcentral.
AGGGGGGCAGUGAUGAUACUAUGUUUUGGACUAGAGUUUCUGAUCUGGGUCUCAUACCCAGAAGUUGAAGACUAACCCUUGGCUGUCUGAGCACCCUC